CUAAUGAUGGGUGCGCAGCCGGUGUAAGUAGUAGGGUGAGCGAUGUGUGGGGAAUUGUUGGAAGUAAGGAGCUCGUAGGCGACAUGUAACGUCGAUUGUGAAAGGCCGAUGCUUAACCGCGGGUCUGCAGUGUAUACGGGCGGGCUAGAGUGUGGUAGGGGAGAUCGGAAUUCCUUGUGUAGCGGUGAAAUGCGCAGAUAUCAGGAGGAACACCGGUGGCGAAGGCGGAUCUCUGGGCCAUUACUGACGCUGAGGAGCGAAAGCGUGGGGAGCGAACAGGAUUAGAUACCCCAGUAGUC
Molecule: ribosomal RNA, 299 nt
Filed under: uncultured Methanomassiliicoccus sp.
Lineage: Archaea; Methanobacteriati; Thermoplasmatota; Thermoplasmata; Methanomassiliicoccales; Methanomassiliicoccaceae
Description: partial 16S ribosomal RNA
Rfam family: Bacterial small subunit ribosomal RNA (bases 51-299)
Source: RNAcentral